Molecule: non-coding RNA, 7412 nt
Organism: Chrysemys picta bellii (western painted turtle)
Lineage: Eukaryota; Metazoa; Chordata; Testudines; Emydidae
Source: RefSeq, a predicted model, not a curated record
GGAGCCGUGGAGGUCGAUUUUGCCACCGUCCUCACAGCGGGGUAAGUUGGCUCCGAUAGGUCGAAUUCAGCUACGCUAUUUGCGUAGCUGAAUUUGCGUAUCUUAAAUCAACACCCCCCCACCCACCACCACCCCCGUAGUGAAGACCUGCCCUUAUAGGGAAACUAAUUUGAGUGUUUACUGACUUGUUACCAUUCUUUAUAAACACCAGAGCUAAGAAGGGAAUCUAUUAAUUUCUCGCUCUUGUUCCAAAUCUUACCUUCUUGGAAUUUGUAAAGUCAGUCUUCCUUAGAGACAUCUGUGUUGAGUGGCCCCAGAAAAUUUCAGGCUUGGCUGAGUGACCUAAAACCUACUGAAGAUACCUGUUUUCUUCUAUAUAGCAGAUUGGACCACGGGGAAAGAACAUUGGUUUUGUCCUGUAUGCUUUAUUUUAAAAUUUAAUUUUCUACUGCAGGCAGUCUGGUAGUACUAGGUUACUUUGUAGCUUGCACACAUACUCCCACUUGUCAUUUCUUCUUGUUGACUUGUAACUAUGCAUUUCUAAACUUUAUAUAUGAUACAUGGGAAUACUUCAGAGCAACUGUGAAUAAAUAAAAGCUCUUAUGAGGCUAAUUUGCUGCUCUUGUGCUUAUAUCAAUUUUAAUCUGGAAAGCCAGUCUUGUAAACUCAAUAUAGCAUAUAAAAGUCAGCUAGAGUUCUUUCUGGCUCAUGCAGCAUCAAUAAUAACAAUGCUGCCCAUAUAUGUGAAAGCACAACUUGGUCUGGGCAGCUCCAUUGAACGUGAUUUUGCAUGGUUCUGAAGGUAAACUUUGUUCUUUAAUUGGAACUUGGUUAUGUAGUCUUGCUAAGGUAGGAGCUGAAAUAGAAUUACUCUGUUUUUUAGCUGCAUGGACUCUGUAUUUUGAAGAGUGGGGACUUCUAAAUCUCCCUUUUUUGUCACUAGAACGUUGACAGUCUCUGAAUACACAUGCGAAACUUCAGGAAGAAGAAAUUCCCUGUUGGUGUACCACUAAAAGGCUGUUUACAGAGGGAUAAAAUGAUGAAGGCAUUGGAUUUUAGUUUUUAUAAGCUUUUGCUAGUUCUUGAUCAAAGCUGUGCCAAUUAUUUUUUUAAGCUCUUUUCUGUAAUUGUGAUACUUUUCAGUAGUUAACAGGAGUUUUACGUGUAUAACAUGCUAUGUUAUAGAACUCACAAUGUACUGGGGCUUCUGCAGAAAACCCCCAAAACUGGUUCUGUCCUACAGCCUUAUGUAGACUAAUACACACACAAAACUUUGGAAACAUACGUGAUGCAAACCUACCAAAGCAAGGAAAUGAAAAGUUAAGUAGCUUAACAGUGCUUGCCUACCUUCUCCAACAACAACAAGGUACCUCCCCUGCUGACUGUGCACCAGAACCUUAACUCUGCCACAUCUCUGCAUCGAUCUUGGAAGAGCAUGCCAACCAUAUAUGGCAGUGGUGAAGAAGGCAUAGAGAUGUUUGUGAGCAGAGAGGGUGGAGGGGAAGGUGAAAGGAGACCAAGUCUGAUGUACAUAAGGACUCUGAUGUGGGGCCACCACUCCAUUUGGAAAUGGAAGUCAGUGAGGAAGGAUGGUUCCUAUAGUUGCUGAGAACUCCCAGAAAUGAGACUUUCCCUGUUUCCUCUGCCCCAUCUUCAUUCUACAUUUGUGGGACUAAGUGAAAGAAUAAGGAUCACUGCUUCUCCAUGACCUUGGCUCUGUUUAAUGAUGGAAAAUGUGGUUUUCCGUGGAAAAAGUUGAUUUUCCAGAAAUGUCAAUUUUGCCUACAACUAUCCAUUUUCCUAAUGGAAAAUUAAAACAUGUAGUUUCAGGGGGGUUCAGUGUUAAUUAAUAUCCGUCUAAACUGCUGCAGUGUGUCAUGGUGCAUCAUGGGAUAGUUAGUCUAGCAGGGGACCUUGGCUUGUAAAGAAGAAUGGGACCAUGAGCCAGGUGAACUACACACUCCUAGGAGACACCAGGGCAACUCAAGCAGGCACCAGUUAAUAUUGACUCUUAAUAAUCAGAUAUUGCCAAAUCAAAUUUUUUCUGAACUUUUUGAUCUGCUAAAAGUUUUGAUAGUUUGACUUUUUGUCCCAAUUGAGGAUGAAAACAUGAUGAAAUACUGGAAUUUCCCAUGGGACAGAAAUUAUGUUUUCCAAUCAGCUAUAACACCUAUUCCACCCUGUCCCUUGACAUGGAUAGAUGAAGAAAGUUGGAUCAGUGUGUGGAGAACCACCUGGUUCUUUUGAAAUGCUCUCAGAUACCAUGGUGAUGAGCUAUAGUAUAAGUAUUUAGAUGGACCUACUAAUAGACCAGCAAUAUGAUGACCCAGAGCACUUCUAGAGAAUAAUAUUGCCUUUGCCAGUGCUACUGGCAACAGCCAAUUCCACCUCAGGUCACAUAUUUUAGAAUCUGACCAUAUCAGCUGGGAGCUUGUGCACUUUACAUUGACUGACAAAUUACAACUGCUCUCUGGGGCAGCCCUUGUGUUAUUAAUGAGGAGUUGGGUUGGUAGAAAGGGAUAGUGUCAAUGUUAAAGUGCAGAAGCCCAGUCUCUCCAAGCUGUAGUAGCCUGGUAUGAGUUCUGCAGUGCACUCGCAGAGCUCAAUUUCAAGGAUUGGUAAGAAAUCUGGAGGCAGACUUACAUCAGAGCACCCAGCAUCAUUUAAAUCCAUAAUGUCUGAUUGAUUAGAGUGAGGUUCAGAGUAGGAGAUAGUUGAGACCUAGUACCAAGGUCCUUAGAAAAGGGCUCUUAACUGCUAAAGAAACAUUAUUGUGAACCUCAUGCUAGGAGACAGUUUCUCCUUACCUGGAGGAACAGAGGGGGACUUUCUAUUGCAGCUGGCUUUCUGAGCCACAUUCACUUUGCAGAAAUACCCCCAUCUGUGAAGACCUAGCUAAUUGGGAACAGUGAGGGAGGGCACAUUCACACUGUUCUCUGUGAGAAGUAGAGUGGGGUUGGUGGGAUCUGGAUCCAUUCCAGGGCACCUAGAUUUGUGCCUCAGUUUAGUUGAUUGCUUGUGUUUAUCCAGUAUUAAGUUGCAGAUUGAUCUUCAUUUAGAGAAAGAUCUGGGAGUUAUGACUUAUUUCCUGUUUUGUUUUACAACAGACUUUCUGCAGUUGAGAAAACUGGUUGGCUCCUUUUGGUUUUACUUUGUGAAGCCCACAUCAUUCUGAACUUCCUCUGCUUCCCAGAACUGCAGAGAGAUCUGAUGGUUUAAAAACACACAAUUAAUUCCUCAGCUGUAGUUUAGUCAAACCAUUUAAUCUCAUUGUGGUGAAAACGGGCUGGGAGUUCUGGGCUCUCUUGCUAAAUCUAAGAUUUAUUCUGGGGGCCAGGGCAAAUCACCUCCCCUCUCUGUGCCUCAGUUUCCUUGGGAGUAGAGAUCAGCUGCCUAUCCACACACACAGACUGGUUAAGGUUAGUUAACUGGAUUUUGUAAAAUCUUGAAUGAAAGCCACUGUGUAACUGCCAAGUAUGUAUUUCUUAUUAAAUUAUGGAAUUUGUCUAGGGUGUGCAGGUUUUUUUUCCACUCACUCACCAUCAGGCUUCUGAAAUCCAUCAACCCCUCUGAAGGGGCUUAUUACCCCUUGCUCUUAAUGUUUAUAAACUAGCCACAAAACUUCAGUAUUGAUUUACAGCCUUACUGCUGCAGCUGCUGAGGGGUCUGAGAGGAGCGAAGUGGUGGCAGAAUAAGCUUAGUGAGAGUGGGAAAGACGGAGCCAGACAGGAGCCUAGGAAGCAUGGUCUAUUUUUAGGACAAGGCUGGCAUAUCACAUAUUUAUCAAAGUCACAGUUCCAGAUGCCUCACAUGAGCAAAGGGUGCUGAAGGGCUGAGUUAAUUUUAACUCCUCCAGCUGACAACUAACAUGGACUGUGCGCAGGAACCAGAAGGGCUGAGACUUCGGGCAGAACCAGUUACCGACACCAUUCUUGAGAUUGGACAGAGACUUUUCCAGGUCAAUCGUGGUGCAUUAUCUCUCCACAGUCGCUAUUUUGAGGCCAUGUUUUUUGGGGGCACUAGAGAGAGCUCCGAACACCACAUAGUGAUCAGAGGAGUAGAUGCAGAGACUUUCCAAGCGCUUCUCGAGUUCACUCGCACAGCCAAGGUGCUCAUAACUCUGCACAAUGUCACCCGCCUGCUGGAAACAGCCGACUUCCUCCAGUUUGAGAGAGUGAAAAGGAUGUGUGAGAAGUUCCUGGAGAGGGAGCUGCACGUUUCCAACUGUCUGAGCCUGAUGGCCUAUGCCCAAUGCUUUGCCUGUCCAGAGCUUCAUGCAUCAGCUCUCAGCGUGGCUCUCACGCACUGGACGGAAGUGACUUCUCAGGAAGAAUUUAAGAAGCUUCCCAAAGAAAUGUUGCUGCAGCUCCUGCAAAACAAUGACCUCUUUGUUCCCCAAGAGGAUGUCGUUUUUGAUACUGUGAUGAAAUGGAUAAUGCAGGACCCAGCAUCUAGGGAGGAGGCCUUCUUGGACUUGGUGGGGCAGGUCAGGGUAACCUUCCUGAGUCUUUCCUUCCUUGAUAUCUUGGUGAAACAAAGCAAAAACCCUGGAGAGAAGGAUACCUCUGCCAGGCUGCUAAAGAAGUUAGACAGCUGCCCUCCACUCAGAUGGAGGAACAUGGAGCUGUCUCCUUGCACCAGCAGGAGCUAUGAGACCCUAUAUAUUCUGGGAGGGAAGCAUGAUAAGGAGCAGCAAGAAUUAUUUCAGUUUCAACCUAAAUCUGGCACCUGGCAUCUUUGCUCCCCGCUGCAGCGCAGGAACCUCAUCCAGUAUGCAGUGGCAGCAGUAGGGAACUUCCUUUUUGUGACGGGAGGUUAUUUCCGAGAUGAGUUUGUGUGGUACAGCGUGGACUGGGUGUUGAUCUAUAAUUGCUGGGACAACAACUGGCUGGAAGGGCCUGCUAUGAAGCAGUCUCGCAACAGCCAUUGUGCCGUAGGGGCUGGGCUCUAUCUGUAUGUGCUUGGAGGGAGCACAGAUGAGGGCAUAAUCCCAGAUGUGGAGCGCCUGGCAUUAAUGGACUCGCAAUGGCAAAGCAUGAGCCCCAUGGUUCAGCCUGUGGAGAGAGCAGGUGCAGUCAGUGUGGGGACCAGGCUUUACGUGGUCUGUGGCCUGGAUGAAAAGGGAGAUGUGUAUGGUGGAGUGCAGAGACUGGACAUGGAGAAGGAUGUUUGGGAUGUCAUCUCCUUCUCACCACUUCCCAGUGACACCAGAGGCUGCACUCAGAUCAAGCCUCAAUGUGCAGGGUACAGCUCAAACCUAUAGUAAGAGGCAACCUCUGCCCUAAAGAGCGUACACUUAAUUUAACUCCAGAUGCACCAAGUAUGACCUCUGUGUUACAGCUCUGAAUGGAGCACUCUACACCAUAGGAGGAGGAGCCUUUCGCUUUGAUAUGGACACAGAUGAAUGGACCCAAGUGGAUGAAGAGUGCCUGACUCAGAAAUUCUUCAUGGGAUGCAGCACUGCGAAUGGCCGAAUUUAUCUCCUGGGACAGAGGAAGGGGAACAUGGCUGUCCCCAACAUGGUGCUCUUUGACCCUUACACUGACACAUGUCAGGUGGUAGAUAGCAAACUCCCUUGCCCCGUUCCUAUUUAUGGGUGUGUCUCUAUACGAAGAUUUGACACAUGAACUUAAGCAAGGCUGGACCCAGGUCACCAUACAGAAAGGGAGUCCAGUGUGUUAACACUUACAAGGGCUGAUAUUUAUUGUCUGUAGAACUUGUAGAAUCUUGAAAACAUCAUUUAUUCCUCUCCUGAUUUUGUCUUUUUCAGUUUGGCAAAUGCUGGUGACCUUUGUCCUCAAGGAGCCUACAGGCAAUGGAAGAUUUGCUCCUUUCUUUAUCAAGACAUCUCCACUGGUGUCAGCAUGAUUCCAUGAAAACAUUGUUAGCAAACUCGCUAACUUGGCCUCCGCAGUAGCAGCAGAAGGAAUAACAGCAUUGCAGGGUCAGUCAGAAACAUGGCUGUUGGUUUUUUGUUUGUUAUUUUGAUUUUACCAAAUGACAGGACAGCAGCUUCUCAAAUGCUGAAGAGCACUCCAGGCAGCAGCAGGUGGAAGGCAUCUGUCCAAAGAAAACCAAAUUUCAGUCAUUGAAAAUUGAUUCUUUUAUUUUCAGCCCAUAGGGAUGACAGUACCUAAAAUGCAAACAGAGCCAUGACUAUAAAGACCUGAGCUACUUCAUGCUUCACUCCUCUGGGUUCCUAAGGAGCCUGGGCAGGGCCCUGAUUAUAUUGGAAGGAAAAGAGCAAGCAUAUGGUAGGAUUUAAACUGAUUCUUUAUUCAAGCCAGUGCCCUCAUCACCUCUGUGCUGACUCAGCUCCAUGUGUAAAGUGUCACUCAGGUUUUAGGUAGCACCUAGGGAACCCUGUUCAGAGCUGCUGUUGAUGGCUAUGGAGAUAGUUCUACAAAUGACAAGAGGCCAUCGGCUAGCAAAUAGGAGUUGAGCCACAUUCACUUUGCAUUGUUCUAAUCUUAUGGUGCUCAGACAGGGGAUGAAAUCCUGGCCAUUGAUGUCAAUGAAAUUUUGCAGUUAGCUACAAUGAGGCCAAGAUUUCACCCAGGAUGGGUACAUCGUCCCUCCCCGCUGCAACAUUUCUGUUUAUUAUUGUGCAUGAGGCUGCUUGCUUCACAGCUGGGUGACAUUUUCUGACUGAAACUGUUUCUCUGCAAAAAAUGAUUUGGUGUCACGGAAAUGUUUCAAUAAUUUGUGAGACAAGGUGGGUGAGGUAAUAUCAACAAUUUGUGUUAGUUUCACCGAAGUUUUCAUUUUGAAAACAAAGCUAACAAACUCCAAACAAGUCAAAACAUUUUCUUUUGACAUUUUCAAAACAAAAUAUUUAAAUUUUUUAAUUAAAAAUAACUUUUUGUUACAAAAUUUCCUUCAAUUGUAUUUUUAAAAAAGUUUUAUAAAAAUGCUCUAAAUCAAAGUGAAAUGUUUUGUCUGAGGCCAAAUGAUUUUUUUAACCUCUCAAUUUGCCAAAAGUAUCAAAAAAUUGUUUUGGGGUCAAUUCAACAUGAUUUUAAAAAAUUGGAACUACCACCAAACCAAAAAAUCAGUUAUUUGCCCAGCUCUGUCCGCAACAUGUAUAACGAGAGAAAUAAGACUUAAUUCCUAGUCAUGUUUGAAAAUUUACCUGCACUUUGCUUGUGCACCAGCUGCUCCCUAAGAGAGACACUCCAAAGAUGGUAGUGUCAGAGCUUACAAAUGAUAUAAUUUAUAAUGUUAAACAUUAUGAUCUAGAGCUAUGAUGGAUAGAAAAUUAAUUAGCCAUAGAGCAACGCAUGUGACUGUGAAUGCAAGCAGACUUCAGAUUGGCUGGGUAAAGAACAAAACCUUCCUUUCUGUAUUUUGAAUUGUGCUGUAUUAAUCUUUGGCUAGUAAUCUUUGAUUAAAUAAAUUCUGAUUGAGAUGGU